This 128-nucleotide ribosomal RNA is filed under the name Diaphorina citri (Asian citrus psyllid). The record is from RNAcentral. Lineage: Eukaryota; Metazoa; Arthropoda; Insecta; Hemiptera; Psyllidae.
UGUAGUGACGAUAGCACAUUGAAUCCACCAGUCCCCGAUGGUCCCAAUGGAUCACUGAAGUUAAGCAACGUUGCGAGUGUUUAGAAUCCGGAUGGGUGAUUAACUGGGGACAGUCUAGAACUCUAGAA